Molecule: ribosomal RNA, 254 nt
Filed under: uncultured bacterium
Lineage: Bacteria
Description: partial 16S ribosomal RNA
Rfam family: Bacterial small subunit ribosomal RNA
Source: RNAcentral
UACGUAGGGGGCGAGCGUUGUCCGGAUUUAUUGGGCGUAAAGAGCUCGUAGGCGGUUCGAUAAGUCGGACGUGAAAUCUCCACGCUCAACGUGGAGGGGCCGUUCGAUACUGUCGUGACUCGAGUCCGGUAGGGGAGUGUGGAAUUCCCGGUGUAGCGGUGAAAUGCGCAGAGAUCGGGAGGAACACCCGUAGCGAAGGCGGCACUCUGGGCCGGUACUGACGCUGAGGCGCGAAGGCGUGGGGAGCGAACGGG